Molecule: ribosomal RNA, 301 nt
Filed under: uncultured bacterium
Lineage: Bacteria
Description: partial 16S ribosomal RNA
Rfam family: Bacterial small subunit ribosomal RNA
Source: RNAcentral
CAGCAGCCGCGGUAAUACGAAGGGGGCUAGCGUUGCUCGGAAUGACUGGGCGUAAAGGGCGCGUAGGCGGCGAUCAAAGUCAGGCGUGAAAUUCCUGGGCUCAACCUGGGGGCUGCGCUUGAUACUUGGUUGCUUGAGUGGGGAAGAGGGUCGUGGAAUUCCCAGUGUAGAGGUGAAAUUCGUAGAUAUUGGGAAGAACACCGGUGGCGAAGGCGGCGACCUGGUCCUUGACUGACGCUGAGGCGCGAAAGCGUGGGGAGUAAACAGGAUUAGAUACCCGCGUAGUCCCUGUCUCUUAUAC